RNAcentral lists this non-coding RNA (78 nucleotides) under Chloropicon roscoffensis. Lineage: Eukaryota; Viridiplantae; Chlorophyta; Chloropicophyceae; Chloropicales; Chloropicaceae. The record is from RNAcentral.
UCGAAGCCACGUGCCACGCCCCAGUCGCUGAGGAGAUCUACAAGGAAAUGCUGCGGGUUGUGAAGCCGGGAGGCCACG